UUCUCUGCUUUGUUAGGAGAGGAGGGGAAAGGCACUGGCAGAGUGAGACUCGUCCUGCAUUAUUCACACACAGCUAGUCCAGGAGUACAGGGGGAGCUUUCAGACCUAACCCAGGCAACAUUGUGCUCAUUACUCUGAUCUCAUUUGGGAAAAUAACGCUGUUUGUUUGACAGUAUUUUCGAAAAUACUGGACUAUACGGACAAGCCUCUAUAAACAGCGUACAUCCCCAUCACCGCACCAGCGCUUGCAAAUGUGGAAGAUGACCUUUCACACUUAAUCUACACACAAGCAGACCACCACAAGUUGCUCUCCAGUUCUCCUCUCUGUUUACUGCCUGCUGAAAAGAGCCAAAAGUCAGAAAGCAUCUUGAAGCAGUUUUCUUGAAUCGAGGACAUGGCAACCAAGCAGAGGACAUGAAAAGCAAUCCAGCAGUCCUACUUUCUACUUUAAUUUCUUUAUGAGUUGAAGGCAAGAAGGAAUUCUUACUCCAUGGAAGAAGCAGCAGAUGAUUUAGCCACAAUGCAAACCAACCAAAAUCACCACUGAG
This is a long non-coding RNA of Vidua chalybeata, 548 nucleotides long. RefSeq lists it as uncharacterized. The record is from RefSeq and is a predicted model, not a curated record. NCBI's taxonomy places the organism in Eukaryota, Metazoa, Chordata, Aves, Passeriformes, Viduidae. The transcript has 3 exons.